AACGCCUAAGUGAGAACAAAAAGAAGGCAUGUCAAGACUGGGGACUCGACCGAGCCCUCGUACCAACUGUGAGCACUGAGGCAGCGGGACUGGGGCGUCCGUGCUGAGGAGGCAGGGGGAUUCAUUCAUUUCACAAAUGUGUUCUUGGUUUUACUGUGUCCUUUUAAUGUUGUCACUCUGUGCCCUAGUGUCCAUGAGAUGACAUGACAGUGAUGUUUCUGAAAUACCACAGGGACUGAAUCCUCCUCACAACAGCUAGAUAUUCUCAUAAAUGGGGAAUAACAAAAUGAAAAACUUUAAUCUUCUCCAUUUGCAGACAAUUUCCACUUUUCUGUGGAUUAAGAGCUUCCUGCUCUACUUAUUUAAUGUGCUUUUACAAUUAAACUUGCUCUCUGCCUCCUGCAGCCCCGUGCAUGUGAGUCCACAACAGUCCUGAUGCUGUGUGGGCCCAGCGUCCAGACAGACUGCUCCUCAAGGCGACCCCCCAUUUCGGAUGCAUCUUCCUGUAGACCUGCACUGAAAUACCCCACAGGUGCCAAUUUCUAGAUACCUCUGGUUUCUAACAAGAAAAGAAAAAAUUAGCUUGAAUUGUAUGACAUGCAUGUUACUGUAGGUCAAAAAUGGUCAAAGAUUAUUCAGCCCAAUGCAAUGUGCUGUAAUAGUUUUGUACGCGGACAUUUAGAAACAUCUGUACUAACACAUACGAGCAUAAAAAGAGCCAAAGAGGAUUUAGUCCAUGAAAGACAGGUGCGCACUUGUCAGGCACCGAGCAGCGCCCGCCCCACAGGGCCGCCUUCUCCCGGGAUGGCGCCUCCACGGCUGUGCAGCUGGCGGGGGCCAUGGCAGGGGACACACAGAACCUGUGGCCACUAUUUUAUGAGACUGAGGCCACUAUUUUAAAAUGUGUUUAUGAACUAGAUGGCUAAUUUCUGAUGAGGAAAAAUGGGUGCAAUAAGCAAACUAUCUUUUCCAAUAAAGUUUUUAUUGAAACUUUUUAAAGGGCUCUCCCUUUAAAAAUUUACAAUUUUUUUCAAAUUGACUACUUCCUGACUACAGUGAGGUGAGUCAUUGAAAGAGGAAGUGGAAAAGGAUGAACUCUGGUCGUGGGAGAUGCCUGACGGUGAACCAGAGACACAAGAAGGGUGGGGUCCCCACGCUCCUCUCCACACAGCUGUCCCCAUGCUGCCUCUCACUCGGCAUCCGAUACCAGCAGCCACACAGAUCUGCUCUUCAUCCUCUCGGACAAUCACUUCCUACAUUCAGCUCAUGGCCUUCGAGAGAGUCCAAAUUAAAGAAGUCCCAGUGAUGACAAUGUACGCUCAGUGAAGUUCAAAAGGAUUUAUUUCUACAAAUGCCACUUUCUCUGUCUCAGAGGCUGGCCUGCACACUACCUUUGAGCUGCUCCUUUUGCUACCCACGGGCAGAGCAAGCCUUGGCGCGCAGGACGACACCUGCAGACUCCCAGACCCGCUUCCUUUGGACUAAGCCUGUCACACUCAAAGUUGACACGGGCCAAGUAGACGAGGCAUGCGGCCCGCGGCCCCACGUUGGACAUGCUUCCUUUAGACUCUUGUCCUUUCCUCAAUGAAGGAAACGUAAGUGCGAAUCCAUAUGCAUCAUCUGUGUGAGGAAGGUGGGCCCCCAACUCGGCUUAAACCUGCUCGGCGAGGCUUCCUUGGGGACGGCUGACAUGCACGUCCUUAAAGGAAAGACCCUUCAGGUCGACAAAGGCCUUUUCCUGCACAAGCCUGACUGACUCAGCUACGGAACCCAAGUCCAUCGGACAGAAAUCUUAAAGAACAAGAAUCUUCUCCUGGCCUGUAAAGCAUUUCUCGUUUCUGUAAAUUCUGUCAUGCCUGCAGAAUGAGGAGUAACUAAUAUUUAAAGAGACAGGACCUCUGGAUUUGGUAACCAGGCACUGGGGACACCAGCCACAUAACAGAACAGCACUCGGGAUUCUUGUCAUUUCUCCUGGCUCAGGGCUUAUUCUGACCUUCCUGUUACGGGAGUAGAAUAUGCCAGCAGGAGUAACUACCUCAGGAUACACUUGAUUUUGGAAGAGAUCUUAGGAUUAAUCUAACUCAAGUUCUUACGUUAUAAAGUCACUCAGCUAAUUACA
This is a long non-coding RNA of Myotis myotis, 2119 nucleotides long. RefSeq lists it as uncharacterized. The record is from RefSeq and is a predicted model, not a curated record. NCBI's taxonomy places the organism in Eukaryota, Metazoa, Chordata, Mammalia, Chiroptera, Vespertilionidae. The transcript has 2 exons.